AGAGUUUGAUCAUGGCUCAGGAUGAACGCUAGCUACAGGCUUAACACAUGCAAGUCGAGGGGAAACGAUAUUGGAAGCUUGCUUCCGAUAGGCGUCGACCGGCGCACGGGUGAGUAACGCGUAUCCAACCUGCCCACCACUUGGGGAUAACCUUGCGAAAGUAAGACUAAUACCCAAUGAUAUCUCUAGAAGACAUCUGAAAGAGAUUAAAGAUUUAUCGGUGAUGGAUGGGGAUGCGUCUGAUUAGCUUGUUGGCGGGGUAACGGCCCACCAUGGCAACGAUCAGUAGGGGUUCUGAGAGGAAGGUCCCCCACAUUGGAACUGAGACACGGUCCAAACUCCUACGGGAGGCAGCAGUGAGGAAUAUUGGUUAAUGGACGAGAGUCUGAACCAGCCAAGUAGCGUGCAGGAAGACGGCCCUAUGGGUUGUAAACUGCUUUUAUAAGGGAAUAAAGUGAGAGUCGUGACUCUUUUUGCAUGUACCUUAUGAAUAAGGACCGGCUAAUUCCGUGCCAGCAGCCGCGGUAAUACGGAAGGUCCGGGCGUUAUCCGGAUUUAUUGGGUUUAAAGGGAGCGUAAGCCGGAGAUUAAGCGUGUUGUGAAAUGUAGACGCUCAACGUCUGCACUGCAGCGCGAACUGGUUUCCUUGAGUACGCACAAAGUGGGCGGAAUUCGUGGUGUAGCGGUGAAAUGCUUAGAUAUCACGAAGAACUCCGAUUGCGAAGGCAGCUCACUGGAGCGCAACUGACGCUGAAGCUCGAAAGUGCGGGUAUCGAACAGGAUUAGAUACCCUGGUAGUCCGCACGGUAAACGAUGGAUGCCCGCUGUUGGUCUGAAUAGGUCAGCGGCCAAGCGAAAGCAUUAAGCAUCCCACCUGGGGAGUACGCCGGCAACGGUGAAACUCAAAGGAAUUGACGGGGACCCGCACAAGCGGUGGAGCAUGUGGUUUAAUUCGAAGCAACGCGAAGAACCUUACCAAAUCUUGACAUCCCGGUGACAAACUGUGUAAAGCAGUCUUUCCUCGGAACACCGGUGACAGGUGGUGCAUGGUUGUCGUCAGCUCGUGUCGUGAGAUGUUGGGUUAAGUCCCGCAACGAGCGCAACCCCUAUCCUUAGUAGCCAGCAGUAAGAUGGGCACUCUAGGGAGACUGCCGGGGAUAACCCGGAGGAAGGUGGGGAUGACGUCAAAUCAUCAUGCCCCUUAUGAUUUGGGCUACACACGUGCUACAAUGGCGUAAACAAAGGGAAGCGAGCCUGCGAGGGGGAGCAAAUCCCAAAAAUAACGUCUCAGUUCGGAUUGUAGUCUGCAACUCGACUACAUGAAGCUGGAAUCGCUAGUAACCGCAGAUCAGAAUGCUGCGGUGAAUACGUUCCCGGGUCUUGUACACACCGCCCGUCACACCAUGGGAGUCGGAAAUGCCCGAAGCCGGUGACCUAACCGCAAGGAAGGAGCCGUCGAAGGCAGGUCUGAUAACUGGGGUGAAGUCGUAACAAGGUA
This 1498-nucleotide ribosomal RNA is filed under the name metagenome. RNAcentral's name for it is "bacterial SSU rRNA". It matches the Rfam family "Bacterial small subunit ribosomal RNA". The record is from RNAcentral.